This is a non-coding RNA of Caretta caretta (loggerhead turtle), 1817 nucleotides long. NCBI's taxonomy places the organism in Eukaryota, Metazoa, Chordata, Testudines, Cheloniidae. The record is from RefSeq and is a predicted model, not a curated record.
ACCUUUAAAAGCUGGUCAUGGCUGACCCUGUGUGUUCACUAUCUACACUACAGGACACUGAGAUGUGUUAAGUGGUAUAUUUUAAAACCCAUGCUUUUCCCCUAGUGUCUGGUAGACACAUGACUGAAAUGCUGAGUUCCUGUUUACUUACCACGUUGUACAACUAUUUUCUUGUUUAGCAAACAGUCACACGGACCCUGGUGCAUUCAGUGAUGGCCUCAGUGCUGGGAUCGUUGCAAAUUGGUUACCACACAGGAAACAUCAAUGCCCCACAGAUGGUAAAUGACCAGGAGAAGGAAAUGUGGCGUGGAGCUUGGAGAAUGGGACGCGCAGUGCUGAGGAGCAUAGAGGGACUGACUCCUGCAACUAAACGAUAGGAAAACCAUACAUUAGGCCUCAUCUCAGGCCCACCUUGUGAAAGAUGGGCGCUAGCACACUCUGAAAAGCAGGAGAGAGUUCACUCAAUUUCUUGCAUUAUAAUAAAACAGUUAUUUAAUGUUCACCAUUGCAGGAAAGGACGUAGGUCUGCUCUGAGCAGAGCGCCUCCACAGAACUUCUCAUUUAACAGGACAUUCUCUCUGUAGUACUUCUCUGGCCCCCAUUACCAUAUUUAUCUGAGCGCCUCACAGUCUUUAAUGUCUUUAUCCUCACCACCCCCCUGUGAGGCAGAGCAGUGCUAUUAUCUCCAUUUUACAAAUGGUGGCCUGAGGCAAAGGGAGACGAAGGGACUUGACCAAGGUCACAGAGGAAAACCAGGGACAUGAACAUAGGUCUUUAAAAUCCCAGCUUAGUGUCCUAAUUCUUGGACAAUCCUUCCUCUUCAUUACAUGAUAUUUUCUACACUGACGGUGAACUUAGGCCAGCAGCUUUAAAAAGCACAGUAUUAAUUUAUCUUAACAGUGUUAUCUAGAACAGUCCAGCCCACCCCCACCAACCAGGACAAGGUGGUUCCCUACAGUUGUUCUCCAGGGCUUUGUCCAGUCCUUGUUUUAACUAUCCCAAGCAAUGGGGCUUCCACCUCUUCCCUUGGGGAGACUCUAGUCUCACAAACGCCUCACUGUUAGGAAAUGUUUCCUGAUGAUCCAGUCUGAAAUCUUCACACUUGGCUCAGUUUCAUCCUGUUUGCUUCCUUUGCUUCACCCAUCCCUGAACAAUUUCUCUGCCUCCUUGGUGUCAACACUUUUCAGUCACUGAAAGCUGAGGUGGAGUAAAAAGGGGGCUGAUGUGGAGGAAGCUGGGGAAUGAGGGGGUGAAGGCUGAAGGGAAUUGAAGGAAGAUGGAAGGAAAUGGAGGAGGCUGAAGACUGUGGAGAUGGUGAGGAGUAAGAAGGUGAUAGAGGAGUUCUUCAACCAGACCUGGAAGGAGCGGUUCAAGGAUCCAAUGUCUCUCCAUGCACUCACCAUGUUUUGGUCCUUCACCGUCAGCACAUUGGCUUUGGGGGGCCACUGUCUCAGCACUCACUGUGGGCAUAGUGGCUGAUCAUUAUGGAAGAUGCAAUUCCAUCCUGACUGCUAACUCCCUCUCUCUCAUGGCCGUGGCGUUCAUGGGCAUCUCCAAGAUUGCAGGCUCCCUGGAGGCACUGAUUGUGGGGUGCUUCCUCACUGGACUCUUCUGUGGACUCAACAUGACCCUGAUUCCCCUUUAUAUCCAGGAGAUAUCCCCAACCAGGCUCCAUGGGGCCUUCUCCACCAUGAACCAGCUGUCUCAGACAGUGGGCAUCUUCAUUGGGCAGGUAAAGAGCUGGCCCUGGGCAAGGAUUACAAUUAUAAUUUCCACCUAGAAUUUCACAGCAAAACUCAGAUCCUUCUGCAACAGAG